Molecule: long non-coding RNA, 234 nt
Filed under: Helianthus annuus (common sunflower)
Lineage: Eukaryota; Viridiplantae; Streptophyta; Magnoliopsida; Asterales; Asteraceae
Description: hypothetical non coding rna
Source: RNAcentral
GGCAGCACAACGACAUCAAUCACAAUGGAGUGGUAUCUUCGAUUAGGGUUAUUAGUGGCCGGAAUUAGGUUAAGGAUGCGACUUUUGGCCAGAAUCCUCUUCAGCAUCAAGUCAAUAUAGUUAUGCUAUUGUUAAGGAAAAUAUGGUAUCCACUCAAUCACCAGAUGCCAAAAUCAUCAAAGAAGGGUUGUAAUUAGGGCUCGAAACCUUCGAGCGGCUGCUGGGUUUAUUCCG